Molecule: unclassified non-coding RNA, 7816 nt
Filed under: Leishmania donovani
Lineage: Eukaryota; Euglenozoa; Kinetoplastea; Trypanosomatida; Trypanosomatidae
Description: gene:LdHU3.08.0590(CDS-product:hypothetical_prote in_conserved)
Source: RNAcentral
GCUGGCAUCAAAACACCUUCUUAGCUCAACGACUGCCCUGGCAAGCUCAUCGAAUUCGACUUGCGCCUGGGUCUUUGCCCGCCCUCCUCCCUGCUCUUCAUCUCUCUGUGUGCGCACGCACGCACAACACACACACACACACGUGCGCGCAGAGAAAUCGCAUCGCCGUGCGGUGCGUGUUCUGUGUUCUCUUUUGUUUCUUGUGAACGGAAGGGGUGGUGGUGCGCACUCCGUGUAUCCGUGCUGCCCCUGCCGCUGCUGCGGGUGCUUGUCCCGGUCGCGGAUCGUGUCUUGACGUCGCCGCGCUUGGCCUCUGCGUUGCUUUCCUCCAACACCCACGGUCAUCACGGCUCGUGUCAUUUUUAGACUGCGCGGACGGCCCUGCCCCCUUCUCCGUCGCAAACCCUUGGCGCGUCCACUGGUCCUCGCCGCGCUCGCUCAUGAUCGUCCGCUGACCCCUGAGAGUGCCGUGUUCUUAGAAGCCGGUGCCGAAUCGUUCUUGUUGUUGGAAUAGUGUGGGGAGGGGGGGGGUUCAUGUGCCUCCCUGCCUGUCCCGCCCCUUCCGUUUUUGUCUUUCUGUGUCUUCAAGUUCUCCAUGGGCACCUCGCGGGUGCACAGCACAAGCGGGACGGCGGGAGCGCGAUGGAACUCGAUCUCUCUAGGUCCACGUAGCAUCGCCGGCAGCACGCGUGGGCCCCACGGGCUGCAGUGUCGUCGUGGCUUCCGCGUCCUUCACUUCCUGCUGGCAUGCGCCAUCGCCCUCCAUGCCGUCACGGCACCGCUCUCCACCUGCUACGCUUACAUCCGCCAUGCAGCAGCGCCACCCUCCAUCACGGCUGAGACGCCAGCGGCCCCCUCUCUCAUUCGCCCGAACGGCCUGCCCCCCGCCGCCCCCGCCGCACCGUGGCGCACGCUCAACGAGUCGCUCUUGCCGUACCCCGUCUUCUACCCCGCCAUUGCGUUGCUGAACAACUCCAUCUUGCUGCUCGGCGGCUGCGCCACGGCAACUUGUGCCACACCCGUCGGGGCGUCAGGAACGAGGGUUGCCGCAUCGCGCCACCGAGCAAGCGCGGCGACCUCCGUCACCUCGCCGUACCACGAGCGCUUGCUCUCCUUGAACGUGGACAAUGGCAACAUCACAACGCUGCCGCAGCUGACGCUGCCUUCCGGGCUAGGCUUCGCUGGCCGCUACGCAGCCGUCACGCUCACCGAUAGUGUCUACGUCGCGCGUAGCUGCACCAUGAGCACGCAAUCACCAGCCGAGGUGGCGAGCAUGACGGCAGAGGAGCUGCAAGCAAUGCAGGCAGCCUACGCGCCGGUGGUAGCGUUCUACCCGGAAGGAACGGCGCACGCGAGCACGCGUGUCGGUGGCCCAGAUCCGCCACCAGCAGUGAACCUGACCUACUUCAAGGUGCCCGCCGAUCGCGUGCGCGUCAACGCCAGCUGCACCGCUCUCGCAACGGAAAACAAACUGCUCAUCAUUGGCGGCUUCCUGCUCUCCGGGAAGCGCGUCACGGCCAGCGUUGACUCCUUCAACGUCGUCACGCGCAAGUACGACGCCGAUGUCGCCUUCCUGACCGCACCUGUGUUGCAGCCAUCCGUAGCGACAUCGACCGGGUUCGCUGCCGUUGCAGGCGGCUGGACCUACGAGGCCGACACCACGGCCAGCGCGACUCGCGAAGCUAGGGCACUGCAAGAGGAGAGCCGCGUUAGGCGAAGCAGCCGCGUUGCCGUGAGCGGUGAGCCGCUGCAUCUAGUUCAGGAGCUGGCGACGCCGCCAGGGAAGUCAUCGGCAUCCCCCCGCUCUGACACGCCAUCAUCACCGCCGUCACGGUCCGUGCCGUCACCGGCGCCACUGCAGCCAGUGGCACGUUACUUGUUUGAUCUCUUGUUUUUCGAGCCCGACAGAGUACGCGGCUGCUCACGCGCCGCGCCACGUGGUGCGCUGCAGAUAGGUGGAAGCAUUUGCGUGUCGCCGGUGGACUCCUCUACCCUACCACGCACAGCCGUGGAGGACAUUCUUCUCUCACCCAACGGCUGCCACGUGGCGGUAUUUGGUGGCCAGGUGGUGCUGGUCGAUCACAACCUGGGACAUAUCGCGGCGCUGGAUAUACGCGCGAGGCUGGCACAGGCGUUCGCCGCUCGUGCGCCGUUGGUCCUGCGACCACCGCCGGCGGUGACGCUGCUUCGAACAGCGAAGCCGAACGCUGCCGCACGCGCGUUCGCCGGAACCGAGAGUGCGGCAAGCCGGGAUGCCCAGGCCAGUAGCCGCCACAACGAUCACGCCGGAUCGACGGCCGUGUUCGCCAGCAGCGGAAGCAGCAGUGCAGCGCCUAUGACCUCAUCGACGUCAUCGUCUUCUUCAGCCACCGCCUCAUCGUCGUCUUCAUCGGCGCCGCUGCCGGAGUACCGCUACUCAUGGAUGCAGCCGACCCUUAUCUCACUGCCCUACGCCCGCCGCCCCGCCCCGGCUGCUGCGCCGGACCCGCCCGUCAUGGCGGACACGAUCCUUCUUUACUACGCACUCGGUGGCGAGGACGUCUGGUCACAGGUGGUCACCGCGGCAGGCGACAGUGCUGCUGCUGAUCUUCUCGAUCCAUCAGGCAGGCAGCAUGUGGUGCCGCAGCUGCACGGUGACCCCUCAACUCUCCGUGCCACCGGCAAAGGCACGGAAGCCGUUGUCCGUCGGGAGCCGACGCUUCGCUGGGCUCAGCGGGAGCUGCCGGACGUGCGCUACGACAGAGACCGCCCCGAGCUGCUCGCCGUGACGAUGCCCACGCCGCUGUGGCCCGAUGCGCUCACCCUGCAGACCAACUCCGAGGGCAUUAUCCAUCUAGCGUUUCGAGACCUCAACUACACACGCUACUGUAGGUGGAAUCGGCUUGUCGACAACGACGAUGACAAUGUGGUCUGCGCUGUCCGGCUCAGCAGUCGCCGCGACUGCGUCGGCAACACCGCCGGCACACUCGACAGCGCCUACGACGGCUCCCCGAACGCGACUAUCCUCUUCAGCGCCAGCGGCAGCACGACCCCGGUGUACGUAUGCUUCAGCUACGUGGUGCGGCCAACCUUGUGGCCUACAUGCCGCAUCCGGCAGUCCUUUUCCAUCUUGAAUCCGAUGAUGCCACUGCGCAUCCUCGACAACAGCCACACCACCUCCGCGCCGACGCCAACACCACGUCCUUCUCCGACGCGCGACCCUGCCGACAAAACCACCAGCUCCCCGCUUUUCAUGCUCGCCGUUGGCGUGUCUAUCGUUACGCUACUGGUGGCAGUGCUCCUCGCUGCGCGGCUUCAGCAUGUGCCGGAGGAUGGGCUUCUGGUGAUGAGCCUGCUCGACCGCGGCGAUGGCGCAGGUGACCAGCACGCGAGCCCCGGGAUUCGCGGCCGCAGCUGCGGCGGCGCCGCGAGGCACAACGGGCAAGGCCGACGCAAGCGUCUUCUCCGCGGCAGCGGCGAGCCCAACAAAGCCGCAGAUGUCGAGGAUGACGACGAGCCUGGCCUGUACCCGAUUUCAACGUACGCCGAGUUCCUCCAGGUGGUUGGCAGCGCGCAGGAGGACAGUGAAGCGCGCAUGUUGGCGACAGCGGUGGAGGUGCUGCGGCUGCACCAACACCGCUAUCGCGUGCUCUCGCGGAUCGGCCAAGGGCCACAUUCUCUGUGCUUCCUUGCGCUUCGCAAGGCGCCGCCGCCGCCGCCGCUACGGGUGCAGCAGCAGCGAGUGAGGGGGGCGGGUGCCGGUAUGAACCGAAGGGUACGCAUGCUGGAUGGCGAUGCGAGUCCCGUCGUGCGCUCGUCCCUUUUCACGCGGCCACCAUCGUCGUUCCCAGCAGCGUCCGCCACCCUCAGUCCAGGCGUCCCGACCACCGCCACCUCGUCCCUGUGGGCCGCGCGGCACGACCAGAGCACGGCCGUCGUGGUCAAGUACACGCAGUGCCCUGACGACGCCACGCGAGCCCUCAUAACACGCCUGUGCGAGCGCCUCCGCGACCUUCAAGCGGACGCUGUCACAGAGGCUUUGGGUGCGACAGGGGUGUAUAGACAGCACCGCAACAGUGCCCCGUCGCGUCGCCCUCACCGGCGGUACCGCCCAUCGGACACGUCGUCGACGGUGUCCUCUGCCGCCGCUCUUCGGCCUUUAGAUGUGUCAACUCAACUCACAUGCAGCAUCGCCCGCGAGGUGGCCAGCGGCGGUAGAAGCAGCCGUGGAGGUGCUGCGGCACAGGCGCCGCAAACGGAUGCCGAGGAUGCCACGGCACCACCAACGAGCAGACGAGACAGCAGUGCCAUCAUCGUCACCACAGCAAGCCGAGCGGGAUGUCAGCCGCUGCCGCCGCUGUCUUCUGCCGCGAACGAGGCUCGCGUAAUCGACGGCGACGACGAUGACAACAGCUGCGCAUGGCUCGACGCUCACGAGGUGAACGUCGUCCUCUCGCUCUUCUUGCUGCUGCCAGAGGAUCUGUUCGUAUCGUACGAGGUGAGCGUUCUUCAGCAGCAAAACAGCAACAGCAGCAGCCAGCACGCGCACGUCGACCGCAGCGGCCGCUUGACGCCGCUAAGCGUGUCACAGGCUGCGGUGGAAUGGAAUCGCAGGCAUGUCUGGCCCGGCGCGAACGCCGAGCCAGCAAAGGCGUCUCAUCACCGCCAACGCCAUCGAUGCACACCGAUGCUGUCAGCAGGACAGAGCCUCCCCGAGCAGUCAACUCCGCGUGUAUGCUGGGCUGCCUGCGUGAACCCGCUCCAGCCCUCCACACUCAGGCCGUGGAGUCUUUGCCUGGUCAUGCCGUACGAGCGCAGCGGCGACCUUGCCGACUUCAUUUUGCGUUGCCAGCAGGUGCAGCUGCUUCCUGCUGACGUGACGGGCGCGAAGGACACGAAGCGCACCGGGCUGAGCAGCAGAACCUCCGCAUCUCCGGCAUGUGUGCCGCCUGUCCACCACUGCUGGACCGAGUCGCUUCUCUGCUCCAUCCUCUUCCAAGUAUGCACUGGGCUUCAGCUGCUGCACGCGCAGUCGCCGCCCAUCCUGCACGGCAACAUUAAGCAGACGAACGUGCUGCUGCGGGAGCCGGCCUCCUUCUCGGUGGCACGACGGCGUGUGGUCGUCGCUGGAACGCCGGCGGCACUGGCAGGGAUGAAGAUGGGCGUGAGCAGCGGUCGCGGUGGACUCGAGGACGCGAACGGCGAUCUAGACAUGGCCGCUGCCACAAUGCGCGUACCUGGAGCGCAGCAGGCAAGAGAAGGAGAAGGUGGAUGGCGGGACCGUCGCCUUGAAGCCGGCAUUGCCGCCGCCGCACGACCGCUCUCUGCGCACGCGUCCUUCUGGCGGGCGAGCAGCUUGGUAGCUGCCGCCACCGCUGUCUGGCAAGCUGGCUCGCCGGUCUUGCGCUCCUCGCUAUCCAUCGGAUCACCGCCUUCUCUGUUCCGUGCUGGCGCUACAGCGUCAUCAUCCACGGCGGCUUUCUCGCACGACGCGCCGCAGGAAGGGCAACCACAACUACAGCCACACGAAGACGAACAGCUGUGGCCGCCGGAGCGUGCACGGCAUCUGCUCAGUACGCACACCUACCUGCCCAUCAGCCUCACAGACGGCGGCAUGUCGUGGUGGUUGACGGUGCAACUGCCGCUGCGGCUACGCGGGUGCUUCGGGCGCACGACCCGCUCCACUCUUCGGCAGGCCCCGGCUGGGCUCUGCUGGCUGCGCCGGCUUGACCCGCCCCCAUCGUCGCCGCCGCCCAUCACGACGAAGAGCAGCGUCCUUCCAUCCGAGGACUGCAUUGCGGCGUUAGCUGACUUCUUGUUCACCUUUAUCGAUGUGCCCACGCACGUCGCACCGGAGUUGUUGUGGGGGCGGCUCUGCACACUGUCGCAGUCUGGCCACGGUGAUGAAGGUGGCGCUGCUGCCGGUCUCGCCGUGCCCGGCUCAUCGCUGACGCAGUCAUCUUCGUCACUCCACUCCAUUCGAAACCGGCGAGAGCAACACGUGGCCAGCUCUCGCCGCGACGGCCGUCGACGCGGCGAUGGUGAUAGCCUCACGCAUCGGCGUUGUGGUGAUGUCGCGCGCGAGCCUGCCGCGUCUCCGGCGGUGGGCUCAGCAAACCUCUUGCGUGCGACUGCUAGUGACGAACUGGGAGCGAACGUGACAGGGGACAAGCAAGCCCUCGGUGUGCUUCCUCAGCAGCAGCAGCCACAACUACAGCGGCACGACGACCCGUACGCGGACGAAGACAUGGACGAUCGAGACGUGGAGCUCGACAUCGACGAGGACGGUAUCUUCACCUGCGAGGAGGUGAAUGCGCUGACCUCCGCCAUGUGGAAGGCGGAAGGACUCACCCGCGUGCCGCGCGGCAGUCGCCACUACCGCCAGGCUCCUCCUCAGCAGCGCACCUCCGCGGCGGCCGUGGACCCCUUGCUACCAGGAGCUCUCGCUGCCUCCACCACCACGCCGGGCGGAGGCUCCGUGGCAGACGUGACUCUGCAGCCGCUGCGGAACACCACCGGAGAGGACGGUGGCCGUCGGGGUUUGGGCGGUGAUAUGCGUGGACUGCCGUCGAGCUUCUCUAACGCACCUCUGUUUGCGAGCACUACCACGGCGGCAACAGGCUUGCCGUCUACAUCGUCUACGCAGCCGACGUCACAGGCGCUGCACCGUCAUCACAAUGAUGUGGAUCGCCAACUCUGUGGCAACAGCAACAACGGUGGUCGGCGGAUGGCCGAGGGAGGAGGAGGCUCUGUCGGUGGAGAAGGAAGCCGCAGCAGCUCGAGCGUGUAUGAGGUGCUCAUCCAACGGGUGCUGGCGAUGGACACGGCGAGUGACAUAUGGAGCCUUGGCGUGCUGCUCUACGGCAUGUGCGCCGACACUGUGGAUGCGCAGCAGCAGCAGCAGCACCACCGCCACCACCAAACGUCCGCUUCCACACCGACCUCUACGCUGAGCCCGCCACAUGCGACUGAAGCCGGCAGCUCUCGUGUCCGCGCGCACGAGGGCGUCGCAGACACGCUGCCGCCUGCAAUUCCCACGUGCACGUGCGCGUCGCGGCUUGCCCAGCGCGCGUUUGCGGCACUCCUCGGCGACCUCUACGACCUUGCCGUAACAGGGGUGCCGAGUGGCGGCCCUGGCAACAACGGGUGGAGCUGCGAUGGUGGUGCCGGCCUGCGGUCUGUAGGCGGCGACGAGGGCGAUGGCGUGGAUGUGGAGCCGCCAGACGAAGCUGCCGAUGACCGCCUCCGCUGGCCCCGCUCGUGUGCGCUGGAAGAUGAGGUUAUGCAGGUCAUCGGCGAGGCGGGCUACACACAUGCUUUGGCGUCCGUCCUUGCGAGCAUGCUAUCGCCCGUAGCGGCACGGCGCCCCAGCGCCGGCGACAUCGUGAACCAGUUGCGUCUCGUGACCACAGGCGCCCCUGCCACCCUUGCAUCCGACAUCAUGCGCGGUGGUGGAGGCGGCCUUGCGGAUGCAGAUCGCGAGUACAGUGUCGCCCGGCAAGGCCCGCCUCCGCGCACCCGGCACAGCGGCGGCGCAAGUGAUGCAACGUCAUCCGUCAUGCUACACGAGCAGACGGCUCGCAUGGCGCUGCGUCAGCGAUGAUCGCGGAAAGAGAACGAAACCACCUGCGUGUGUACGUGUGUGUGUGUGUGUGUGUGUGUGUGGAUGGGUGUAAGUGUUUCUACUCCGCAGCUCGUCGGAUUCGUGGGGACGUGCUCAGCGGACGGGGAGGGGGUGUGGCGUGGUGAGCGAGCCCGGUGGUUGGCCCCAUACUCGUGCUUUCUCUUGAUUCUGGCUUGGUUUCUUCUUUUUUUGGGAGGGAUGCGUCGUUUGUGU